Molecule: ribosomal RNA, 433 nt
Filed under: uncultured bacterium
Lineage: Bacteria
Description: partial 16S ribosomal RNA
Rfam family: Bacterial small subunit ribosomal RNA
Source: RNAcentral
AACGAACGCUGGCGGCAUGCCUAACACAUGCAAGUCGAACGAGACCUUCGGGUCUAUUGGCGCACGGGUGCGUAACGCGUGGGAACCUGCCCUUAGGUUCGGAAUAACUCCCCGAAAGGGGUGCUAAUACCGGAUAAUGUCUUCGGACCAAAGAUUUAUCGCCUUUGGAUGGGCCCGCAUUGGAUUAGCUAGUUGGUAGGGUAAAAGCCUACCAAGGCUACGAUCCAUAGCUGGUCAGAGAGGAUGAUCAGCCACACUGGGACUGAGACACGGCCCAGACUACUACGGGAGGCAGCAGUGGGGAAUAUAGGACAAUGGGCGAAAGCAUGAAACAGCAAUGCCGCGUGAGUGAUGAAGGCCUUAGGGUUGUAAAGCUCUUUUAAACGGGAAGAUAAUGACAGUACCGGGAGAAUAAGCACCGGCUAACUCCGUG